UACGAAGGGUGCAAACGUUGCUCGGAAUUAUUGGGCGUAAAGCGCACGUAGGCGGCUCUGCAAGUCGGAUGUGAAAUCCCUCAGCUCAACCAAGGAAGUGCAUCCGAAACUGCGGAGCUUGAGUACUUAAGAGGAUCGCGGAAUUCCCGGUGUAGAGGUGAAAUUCGUAGAUAUCGGGAGGAACACCAGUGGCGAAGGCGGCGAUCUGGGAAGAUACUGACGCUGAGGUGCGAAAGCGUGGGGAGCAAACAGG
This 253-nucleotide ribosomal RNA is filed under the name uncultured bacterium. RNAcentral describes it as "partial 16S ribosomal RNA". It matches the Rfam family "Bacterial small subunit ribosomal RNA", at positions 524 to 776 of the family's 1533-position model. The record is from RNAcentral.